GAUGAACGCUGGCGGCGUGCCUAAUACAUGCAAGUCGAGCGAACGGACGAGAAGCUUGCUUUUCUGAUGUUAGCGGCGGACGGGUGAGUAACACGUGGAUAACCUACCUAUAAGACUGGGAUAACUUCGGGAAACCGGAGCUAAUACCGGAUAAUAUUUUGAACCGCAUGGUUCAAAAGUGAAAGACGGUCUUGCUGUCACUUAUAGAUGGAUCCGCGCUGCAUUAGCUAGUUGGUAAGGUAACGGCUUACCAAGGCAACGAUGCAUAGCCGACCUGAGAGGGUGAUCGGCCACACUGUAACUGAGACACGGUCCAGACUCCUACGGGAGGCAGCAGUAGGGAAUCUUCCGCAAUGGGCGAAAGCCUGACGGAGCAACGCCGCGUGAGUGAUGAAGGUCUUCGGAUCGUAAAACUCUGUUAUUAGGGAAGAACAUAUGUGUAAGUAACUGUGCACAUCUUGACGGUACCUAAUCAGAAAGCCACGGCUAACUACGUG
Molecule: ribosomal RNA, 497 nt
Filed under: uncultured bacterium
Lineage: Bacteria
Description: partial 16S ribosomal RNA
Rfam family: Bacterial small subunit ribosomal RNA
Source: RNAcentral